This 253-nucleotide ribosomal RNA is filed under the name uncultured bacterium. RNAcentral's name for it is "partial 16S ribosomal RNA". It matches the Rfam family "Bacterial small subunit ribosomal RNA", at positions 524 to 776 of the family's 1533-position model. The record is from RNAcentral.
UACGUAGGUGGCAAGCGUUACUCGGAUUCACUAGGCGUAAAGCGCGUGUAGGCGGGUGUUCAAGUCUGUUGUGAAAUUUCCUGGCUCAACUGGGAAGGGCCAACAGAUACUGGACGUCUUGAGUAAGGCAGAGGAAACUGGAAUUCUCGGUGUAGCGGUGAAAUGCGUAGAUAUCGAGAGGAACACCGGUGGCGAAGGCGGGUUUCUGGGCCUUUACUGACGCUGAGACGCGAAAGCUAGGGGAGCAAACAGG